AUAUGACUCCCGAGCACCGGGCAGCGGGGAAUUGGGACGCAGGCGCGGACCCGGGGAUCACUCCCCCAGCACGGGUAUGAAACCAUAGGGGACCUGUCCGGGUGGCCUCCGGGAUAGGCGCUCCCCAAGGUAAUACGUGGGAUGGAGGGGGA
Molecule: non-coding RNA, 152 nt
Filed under: Sarcophilus harrisii (Tasmanian devil)
Lineage: Eukaryota; Metazoa; Chordata; Mammalia; Dasyuromorphia; Dasyuridae
Description: Connexin-32 internal ribosome entry site (IRES)
Rfam family: Connexin-32 internal ribosome entry site (IRES)
About the family: This family represents the connexin-32 internal ribosome entry site (IRES) which allows cap independent translation during conditions such as heat shock and stress.
Source: Rfam by way of RNAcentral